This is an RNA transcript of Daucus carota subsp. sativus, 3642 nucleotides long. It is a transcript of the gene named pentatricopeptide repeat-containing protein At4g20740, with no coding region annotated. The record is from RefSeq and is a predicted model, not a curated record. Lineage: Eukaryota; Viridiplantae; Streptophyta; Magnoliopsida; Apiales; Apiaceae. The transcript is spliced from 3 exons.
GGUCCACCCACGACACAACCGGAUGAAACCCCACGCAAAGAAGGAUACCCGGGAAUACAGCCUACAGGGAUAUGAGUUGGCCGGAGAUGCUCUUACACAAAAACCAACAGAUUCCCCGGUGAUUUAUUUGUUGCUUUACUUUUGGAAGUCUCAACAUUUAUUUAUAUGCUAAAAAUGCCUCCCCAAACUCCACCCACCAACAAGCUAUACUUCUACUACGGCCACCGUAAACCCACCCAAAACCGCCCCACCGUCCACGGCGGCCUUUUCACCAACCGCCGUACCGUCAACCCUCAUAAACCCCCCAUUUCGACCCGACCCACCUCCUUCAAUUUCGACAAUUGGGACCCGGAUUCACCUCAAUUAGCUCAACCCAUCACUGACCCAUCUGCCCAUUUCUUCUCUGUAGCUCAAUCUUUAUCCCCAAUUGCUCGUUACAUUGUUGAUUCCUUUAGAAAACAUGGUCAGUGGGGCCCACAGGUUGUUUCGGAUCUUAAUAAGCUCAGACGGGUCACUCCUAAACUUGUUGCUGAAGUACUUAAAGUUCAGGAUGAUCCAAGACUGUCUUCUAAGUUCUUUCACUGGGCAGGUAAGCAAAAAGGAUAUAAACAUGAUUUUGCGUGUUACAAUGCUUUAGCUUAUUGUUUGAAUCGAAAUAAUCAGUUUCGGGCAGCCGAUCAAGUGCCUGAGCUAAUGAACAUGCAAGGGAAAGCGCCUACUGAGAAACAGUUUGAAAUUUUGAUUAGGAUGCAUGCUGAUGCUAAUAGGGGUCUUAGAGUGUACCAUGUGUAUGAAAAGAUGAAAAAGUUUGGAGUUCGACCGCGGGUUUUUUUGUAUAAUAGGAUACUAGAUGCUUUGGUGAAAACCAAUCAUGUCAAUUUAGCAAUGACAGUUUAUGAUGACUUUAGAAAUGAGGGACUGGUGGAGGAGAGUAUUACUUACAUGAUAUUAGUAAAGGGUUUAUGCAAGGAAGGACGGAUCAAUGAGGUUUCCGAACUUUUGAAUCUCAUGAGGGAAAAGUUAUGUAAACCGGAUGUUUUUGCAUACACCGCAAUGGUGCGUGUGUUGGUUUCAGAGGGUAACUUAGAUGGGUGUUUGAGAAUUUGGGAAGAAAUGCUGAAUGACAAGGUUCUUCCGGAUGUUAUGGCUUACUCAACUUUAAUUCUAGGGUUAUGCAAAGGAAAUCGGGUUUUAAAAGGUUAUGAAUUGUUUAAGGAGAUGAAAGAGAGGAAGUAUUUGAUUGAUAGAGUUAUUUAUGGAUCCUUGAUCGAGGCAUUUGUUGGGGAAGGGAAGAUUGGCCUGGCAUGUGAUUUGCUGAAGGAUUUGAUGGACUCCGGAUAUAGGGCCGACUUGGCUAUAUAUAAUUCACUUAUAAAAGGUUUGUGUUGUGCCAACCACAUUGAAAAGGCCCACAAACUUUUUCAAGUCACUGUUCAAGAGGAUUUACAACCAGAUUUUGUAACGAUAAAACCUAUGCUAGUUUCUUUUGCAGAGUCAAAGAAUUUAGAUGACUUCUGCAAAUUGCUUGUUGAGGUUCAAAAACUUGGUUUUAAUGUCAUUGAUGAUCUUGGUAGAUUUUUUUCAUUUAUGGUGGAGAAAGAGGAUAGAGUAAUGAUAGCUGUAGAAGUGUUUGACCACUUAAAGCUGAAAGAGUAUUGUAGUAUUUCAAUAUACAAUAUUAUUAUGGAAGCUCUUUAUCAUAUUGGGGAGGUUGAUCAGGCACUACUUCUAUUUCGUGAGUUGAAGAAUUUACAUUUUGAACCUGACUUGUCAAGUUACAACAUUGGGAUAAGAUGUUUUACUGAAAUAGGUGACAUCCAAGAAGCAUGUUCCUGCUAUAAUAUGAUAAAGCAGAGGUCUUUAGUUCCCUCUAGUGGGGCCUAUUAUUCUCUCGUUAAAGGGCUUUGCAAAACUGGGUAUAUUGAUGAAGCUAUGAUGCUUAUUCGUGAUUGCUUAGCCAAUGUUACAAAUGGUCCAAUGGAGUUUAAGUAUAGUCUAGCUAUUCUCCAUAUGUGUAAAAAAAAUGAUGCAGGAAAGGUAAUAGAAGUUUUAGAUGAGAUGGUGCAACAGGGUAUGCUUCUGGAUGAAGUUAUAUAUUCCGCUAUUGUCUGUGGCAUGUGCGAACAUGGUACGAUAGAUGAGGCGAGGAAAGUCUUCACCUAUUUGAGAGAUUGUAAACUUUUAACUGAAGCCGACUUGAUAGUUUAUGAUGAAGUACUUGUUGACCACACAAAGACGAAGACAGCAGACUUGAUGCUUUCUGGACUGAAAUUUUUUGGUCUGGAGUCUAAACUAAAAUCAAAAGGCUGUAAACUUUUACCAAGUUAAUUUCAGGUAUCAGACUGAUCUGUUUUUGUUCUAGAAGAUUUUUGUCACCCCAGCAUUCUUCCUGCCAUCAAAUUAGAAAGUGACUAUCUUCCGAGUACUGUUUGUUGUUGUAUCAUGUAUGCAAUGUUAAUGCCAUUCUUCAUCGUAUGUAUUCACACACACACACAUACAUUGAUAUAUAUAAUAUACAUUUUUGCCAUUACGAUUUUGUACUAUAUUUCACUCUGUCCUCAGGUUAACUCCCUGAUCCUUGGGGCUGGUUCUCUCUCUCUCUCUCUCUCCCUCCCUCCCCAGGCCCCCUCCAAUCCAUCAGAAACAAACUUAGACUAGAAACUAGAAAGUGACUGCAACAAAUCUGCCUUUUAGAGCUUCAAGCCUGGGAUUUAAGGCAUCUUUUAUCGAUCUUUCGGGGAUGGGCAAUUCCGAACUCUAAUGAGGAAUGGUAUAUUCAGUGAUUGUUCAGCAUUUUUAGUUGAAUAUAUACAUAUAUUACAAAUCAACAUCCAAUUACCACCACCACCACCAUUGAUUACGUUCACCACUACAUUUGGCCGAUUUACUACGACUAGGGGGCAGAAGAAAGGUCGGUAGAGAAUGAGAAGGAAGGGGAAGGGAGUGAGGAGGAAGGUCAGGGAAGGGACGGGGUGGAGCGAGCGAGAGCGAGGAAUGAGGAAUGAGGCUGGUGCUAGGAUGGGUCGGAGUCGGGCGAUACUGGUGGCCGGCAGGAGUGGGAGUGAUAGUUGGGGUUUGGUCGAUUGGGGGCGAUGAUCACUAAAUAUGACUACACCAAUCAAUGAUUUCUAGUUUCUAUCCAGCUGUAGCAGUAAUUUGAGCUGCUGCAACUGGUCUUGGAUUACAGAAUUAUAUAUGAGGCUUAGUCAUUGGCACUACCACUACCAUAUGAGCAUGCCAACGAGGGAAGAAAUGUAAGCAGAAUCACUCGUUCUUUUGCUUCAACGUCACCUGCCUAGCUUCCAAAGAUGCAGUUUUUGGAACUAGUGUGGCAUGAGAAUGACUUUCCUGGGGUUACUUGAGCGAUGGAAUGGAAUAUGUGGUGGAAGCAGAAGCACGUUUCAUGAACCAACAGAACACCUCAGAAAUUACGAGAAAAGGUAUCACCUGGUGUUUGCAUCUACAAUCAGCUCAACAACCUGCUCAAUUUUCUUUAGCCGAGAGGUAUUACCUGUAUUACAUAUUUACAUGUGUAAUGAACCUUAAAAUUCUAAGCAGGGGUGUUGGUGUUGGUAAUUUGGUGAUUUAGCGUUUAUGAAUGUACAGUUGUGAUCUAGUAUUCAAUUUGAUUUGUUUGAUUAA